Eurytemora carolleeae is the source of this 422-nucleotide long non-coding RNA. RefSeq lists it as uncharacterized. The transcript is spliced from 3 exons. The record is from RefSeq and is a predicted model, not a curated record. NCBI's taxonomy places the organism in Eukaryota, Metazoa, Arthropoda, Copepoda, Calanoida, Temoridae.
AUCAUACAACUAGAACGUUUUAAUCUUUUAAUAAUAAGUGAAAAUUAUCUGAAAGGCUAGGUCGUGCCGGGUAAAUUCAGACGAGUCAGCUGUCGGAAUGCACAGCCCGAUGUCCACAACGAAAACUGUUUGCAAUAUCAAAUAUUAAGUUUAAUAAGAAAAUGAAACUAUCAAGCUUGUUGAUUAUUUUACUGCUUCUACUACAACACAAUAAAGGUGCUCUGAUGGUUGAACCUAAUGAAGGCUUUUCAUCAGGUCGGAGUUCUAAAAAGGGUUCUCUAUGCCCUCCUGGCAGUACGUUUUCCACUUUCGGGUUCGCAGCGUUCAUCCUCAUAUCAAUCCAGACUGUUAUCAAUAUAGGGACACAAACAUCUUUUAACAAACAUACUCUUAGCAUUCUCAUUGCAGUACAAAAGUAACAA